Molecule: ribosomal RNA, 449 nt
Filed under: uncultured bacterium
Lineage: Bacteria
Description: partial 16S ribosomal RNA
Rfam family: Bacterial small subunit ribosomal RNA
Source: RNAcentral
AGCGAACGCUGGCGGCAGGCCUAACACAUGCAAGUCAAACGAAGUCUUCGGACUUAGUGGCGGACGGGUGAGUAACACGUGGGAACGUGCCUUUAGGUUCGGAAUAACUCAGGGAAACUUGUGCUAAUACCGAAUGUGCCCUUCGGGGGAAAGAUUUAUCGCCUUUAGAGCGGCCCGCGUCUGAUUAGCUAGUUGGUGAGGUGAAGGCUCACCAAGGCGACGAUCAGUAGCUGGUCUGAGAGGAUGAUCAGCCACAUUGGGACUGAGACACGGCCCAAACUCCUACGGGAGGCAGCAGUGGGGAAUCUUGCGCAAUGGGCGAAAGCCUGACGCAGCCAUGCCGCGUGAAUGAUGAAGGUCUUAGGAUUGUAAAAUUCUUUCACCGGGGACGAUAAUGACGGUACCCGGAGAAGAAGCCCCGGCUAACUUCGUGCCAGCAGCCGCAGUAA